This 385-nucleotide ribosomal RNA is filed under the name uncultured bacterium. RNAcentral describes it as "bacterial SSU rRNA". It matches the Rfam family "Bacterial small subunit ribosomal RNA", at positions 30 to 418 of the family's 1533-position model. The record is from RNAcentral.
AUUGAACGCUGGCGGCAUGCCUUACACAUGCAAGUCGAACGGCAGCGCGGGGCAACCUGGCGGCGAGUGGCGAACGGGUGAGUAAUAUAUCGGAACGUACCCUGGAGUGGGGGAUAACGUAGCGAAAGUUACGCUAAUACCGCAUACGAUCUAAGGAUGAAAGCGGGGGAUCGCAAGACCUCGCGCUCCAGGAGCGGCCGAUAUCUGAUUAGCUAGUUGGUGGGUAAAGGCCUACCAAGGCAUCGAUCAGUAGCUGGUCUGAGAGGACGACCAGCCACACUGGAACUGAGACACGGUCCAGACUCCUACGGGAGGCAGCAGUGGGGAAUUUUGGACAAUGGGCGCAAGCCUGAUCCAGCAAUGCCGCGUGAGUGAAGAAGGCCUU